UACAGCUAGGAGACCUCAUUCCAACAUUUAAGGCCUCUUGAACACGAAUGUUGUGCAUCCGUUCUGUGUAUUGGGGACCGCAAUUUGCGGUCCCCAAUGCACGUGCAACAUCCGUGCGGUGGCCGGGACGGAUCGAGAGCUAUUCAACUUGAAUGGGUCCGUGAUCCG
Bufo bufo (common toad) is the source of this 168-nucleotide long non-coding RNA. RefSeq lists it as uncharacterized. The transcript has 3 exons. NCBI's taxonomy places the organism in Eukaryota, Metazoa, Chordata, Amphibia, Anura, Bufonidae. The record is from RefSeq and is a predicted model, not a curated record.